Molecule: ribosomal RNA, 118 nt
Filed under: uncultured Bacteroidota bacterium
Lineage: Bacteria; Pseudomonadati; Bacteroidota
Source: RNAcentral
GCUUGGUGACUAUGCCGCGGGGGAAACACCUCUUCCCAUUCCGAACAGAGAAGUUAAGCCCCGCAGGGCCGAUGGUACUGCACGGGCAACCGUGUGGGAGAGUAGGUCGUUGCCAAGC